This 436-nucleotide ribosomal RNA is filed under the name uncultured marine picoplankton. RNAcentral describes it as "18S ribosomal RNA". It matches the Rfam family "Eukaryotic small subunit ribosomal RNA", at positions 634 to 1082 of the family's 1831-position model. The record is from RNAcentral.
UUGGAUUUCUGGGAGGGCGGCGAUGUCCGCUUAACGNGUGUGCAGCGGCGCCCUUCCAUCCUUNUGUUAGCGUCUCUUGGCAUUCAUUUGCUGGNGGCGGGCUCAGAUAUUUUACCUUGAGAAAAUUACAGUGUNUCACGGCAGGCUAGGCCGGAANACAUUAGCAUGGAAUAAUGGAAUAGGACUACGGUCUCUNUGCUGGUUNGAGGGACCUGCAGCAANGANUAAUAGNGAUAGUUGGGGGCAUUAGCAUUUAAUUGNCAGAGGCGAAAUUCUCAGAUUUGUUAAAGACCUAACUNAUGCGNAAGCAUUUGCCAAGGAUGNUUUCAUUNAUCAAGAACGAAAGUUAGGGNANCAAAGACGAUCANAUACCGCCCUANUCUUAACCAUAAACUAUGCCCGACUNGGGAUCGGUGGCGUGNUCUAUCCGCCUUCG